UAUAUAUUAGAAAUUAAUAAUUUAUUUACCCUUGAAGUCUAACGAUUAAAAAUAGAACAUAAUUCAAUAUAGAUAUAUGAUUCUAUUAAUAAAUUAUCAGUUGCAAAUUUGAAAUUUCUAGAAAUAUCAAAAAUCGUAUGUUAGUUAAUUAUCUUCUAAAUGACAUCUAUUUUUAAUUCUUUUUGGAUGAUAAUAUUUUGGCUGAGGUGGAUAAUCUUAAAAGCCAUGAAUUUAGUCUAUUUUAUAUAGUAAGAUUCAAACAUCGAAUAAUAUCGGCCAUAUGCCUGAUUUAAAUAGAUUAAUGUACAUAAACGUGUCUUUCGUUUUACAAUAUUAUUAUUUUCACAAUAUUUUAAUAUCUUUUCUCCCACGGAUAUUAUUUGUACACACGUCGUUGAUCCUUUUUUUGUCCAUGAUUGGACUUCAAACCGAGGUACGACUAAAACGAAAAAUAGAGUAAGAAGGAAGAUUUUAAGCAUACAAGACCAAGUUUUUCAAUCCGACAAUGGAAGAGAUCCGAGUUUGAAUGUAUGAAGAGACAGAUAAUAAACACGAGGACACAAGAGUUUGACUACAGCAGUCUACUUUGAUAGAGAUGGUUGGAUCCACUUUCAUUCACUCUUCAGCUGGAGGCGAACGAGACCGGCUGCAAAUGAACCCCACAAAAA
Long non-coding RNA from Brassica rapa (field mustard), 668 nucleotides. RefSeq lists it as uncharacterized. The record is from RefSeq and is a predicted model, not a curated record. NCBI's taxonomy places the organism in Eukaryota, Viridiplantae, Streptophyta, Magnoliopsida, Brassicales, Brassicaceae.